RNAcentral lists this long non-coding RNA (339 nucleotides) under Phoenix dactylifera (date palm). RNAcentral describes it as "long non-coding RNA (PDAC_LNC008016)". Lineage: Eukaryota; Viridiplantae; Streptophyta; Magnoliopsida; Arecales; Arecaceae. The record is from RNAcentral.
AACGACGGUUAUAAGCGUCGGGAAAAUACAACACUUUUAAGCGUCGACAAUAAACGUCGCUUAUAAGCGUCGUCGAAUGCGAGCACACCACCCUAACCCAGCGACCGAACCCGAUCGAGCCCUUAUUUCUCCUCUCCGGCGCUGCUCGAGCUUCCGUGUUGCUCCUCUCCGGCGCUGCCCUAGGUUCCAUCUUGCUCCUCUCCGGUGCUAUCAUCACUUCCGUCUUGCUCCUCUCCGGUGCCGGCCGUCCGACUCCAACCCCUUCUCCUCCUCCCUCCUCUCCGGCGCCGACCGAUCGACCCCAACCCCUCCGCUCGAGGUAUUUUCUCUUCCUCCCUC